Molecule: long non-coding RNA, 21352 nt
Filed under: Malus domestica (apple)
Lineage: Eukaryota; Viridiplantae; Streptophyta; Magnoliopsida; Rosales; Rosaceae
Description: long non-coding RNA (MDOM_LNC014457)
Source: RNAcentral
UCAAUUCUGAAAGGGUUAACUGGCUCCUUUAUUUGUUCAAAUUACUGCUGAAUUUGCUAAACAUAAAAGAAAAAGAAAAAACAUGCAAAAAAUAUCAGGUGUCUGGGGAGCGGGAGCUAUAUAUAUAUAUAUAUAAACCAUGAAGAAAGAUCUCUCUACAAACCAUACACAAAUAAACGAGUACAAACUAUGGCACAAUCGCUUGAGCAACACACAUGCAGUUAUUAUUUAAUUUCUAGGACGAAGGUCGAUGAUCAGGAUAUUUCCUGGGACGAGUGACGUCAGGGUCAACCCUAGCUGCAGGUGGAGAGUCUGCCACCCUUCGAGGACAGACCUUGGGCUUUUACUUCACAUAAAGGGCAUAGUAGCCAAGGGCACCGGCGAUAACAGCGGCAGUGACGGCCGUGGUGGUGGUGCUCAUGCCAAGCAAAAAGCCCCUCCUCGCAGCCUCGGGAGGAGGUGACCUCUUUGGUGCGUCUGCCAUUUCUUUUCUCUCCAAUCUCCAAUUCUUCUUGUUCCAGUCUCCCUCUCUCUCUCUCUCUCUCUCUCUCUCUCUCUCUCUCUCUCUCUCUCUCUCUCUGUAUAUCUUAUAUUUCUGUUUGGGGGCUGAGACGGUGAAACCUAUCUCUUUGUUUCUGCAUGCAAUAUUGCAUAGGAGAGGCUUUGUCGACACGUUUUAAGUUGCAUGGCACCAAGUGCAGGCCUCCGUCACUCGAAACGUAGCCGGUUCGUGUAAGGUUUUAGGUAUAUACGAUUUCAAAACUACAGGAUGCAAUGUGAAAAAAUAUAAAAAUUAAAAUCUAACUUACCAUGAAACUAUUUCAUGUGAAAAAAAAUAAAAAAUCACCGUGUCUCCAAACUUUGGUAUGACUCUAAACCUUGAUGAAAUCCCUAUUGCGAACCUAAACCCUAAUUUUAUGUGCCUAUAACAUUUAAUCCGUAUUUUUUGAUUCUUCUACAAAUUUAUCGAACCACUUGACAUAGCUUGAAUGUGACCAACUCUCUAUUGCUUGCAUGUGAACCAAAUUAGAAUAUAAUUAUAACUAAAAUAUCAUUGAAUAGUAUUUUCAGAUGAUUAUUUAUCAUCGUAAUUUCCAAAUUUUAUAUAUAGAAAUUUAUAAUUAACUCACAAGGGUCCCGACAUGAAAAAAAAUAAUAACUUGAGAAAAUUAAUAAAAUCAAGAAAAUAUUGCAUUCACCGAAUUACAAGUACAAGUCUGCAAGUAAUUGAAUUUUUUUUGCACGAAGCAAGUAAUUGAAUUAGAACAAAGAAGAAAAAACAAUUACGAGUAUUAGCUCCACAAAGUAGUACUGUACCCCCGCCUCCUAAAACGACGACGUUUUGAAGCAUUUCGAAUCCAGCUAGUGUGCACUCACAGGGCCCAAGCCCUGCAACCAGGUGUUGUAGUCUUUCCAUGCUUUGUGACCGUUGCAAUAAACGUUUUCUUUGCCGUUGCUUUAACGUUUUCCCUAACCCCGUAACGGCUACUUUUUCUCCCCAGACAAUAUAUACAUCACAGCUGAGACUCCAUAGCCACGACUCAAAUUUUCUCUCUCUCCCUCUCUCACUCUCAAAUUCUCCAAAAUCCGACAACACACUUGCAGACACACUCUCUAAUAAUGGCUGGCUUUUCAUCCUCAAAAGCUCUGUCAUACUCCUCUCUUCUCGUGGUCUUUCUCCUCUUCAGCUUCUCGGAAGCCAGAGAGUUCGCCGUCGGCGGCAAGAAUGGCUCAUGGGCAGUCCCCUCCUCUGAAUCCCAAUCCCUCAACAAAUGGGCUGAAAGCACCCGCUUUCGCGUCGGCGACACUCUUGGUAAAAUCCCCAGUCCAAUUCCCAUCUGGGAUUUACCAUUUUUUGUUUUAGGCACAUUACUAAUUUUUUUUUUUUUUUUGUUUUCUGUAAAAUGUAAAUUUGUUUUCAGUGUGGAAGUAUGACAGCGCCAAAGACUCAGUGUUGCGAGUGACGAAAGAAGACUACACCAACUGCAAUGCUUCAAAUCCUAUUGAGCAGUACAAGGACGGCGAGACCAAGCUCCACCUCGACCAGCCGGGGCCUUACUACUUCAUCAGCGGAACCAAGGGACACUGCGAGAAAGGGCAGAAGCUGGUCGUGGUUGUUAUGACUCCAAGGAAGCACCUCGGUAUCUCUCCCGCUCCUUCUCCGGCUGGGGAGGUUGACGGUCCUGCUGUUGCUCCUACCAGCGGUGCUACAAGCUUGCAGGGUGGUGGUCUUCUGACUCUGGUGGCAUUGGGAGUUUUUACUCUCUGGUUUUAGAGGAGCGAGGGUGGGGGGUAUAAUUAUUUGUUUAAUUCUUUAAUUUUUUUUCAGAGAGGGGUCUGAGAUAUUAUGUAAUUCUAUUUCGAAUAUCGUAAUAUCAGAUAUAUCAUUUUAUAAAUAGGAAGAUUUUGAACGUGGUUUUUAGUUAUGAAUAUUCUUUGAUUAAAAUUUUGUUGGUUUUUAAUUUUUUUAUUAAAUUGCUUAAAAUUAAUGUGAUAAUUUAUUUCUAUGUACGUUAUUAUAUUUUUUAAAUUAAAAAUUAAAAAUUUUAGUUGUUUAUGUAAAUGAGAUUUUAAAUAGAUAAAAACAUAAUUUGUGGGAUUAAAAAUAUUAAAAUAUAAAUAUACUAUGUGGUGUCUCCUCGUGAGCUGAUCGUCGAGGUCUUCCGGCGGCUUGACUCCAAGCCCAGCCGUGAUGUCUGCUCCCUCGUCUGCAAGUGCUGGCCCGACUCCGGUCGGUCGCUCUGUCGUCAGUAAGGGCAUGCUUUCUGCUUUUCUCUCUUCGACUGUCGUCAACAAAAGGUUUGUUCUUGUUACUGAUGCACUAAUCUAAUGCAUUUGCUCCAUUUACUAUAUGUACAUCGAAAAACAACAGGAAGCUCAAUCACUUGUCAUGAACAAAACUAAAAGAUGAAAUACCUCCAUCCUGUAUCGAUAUCCCACUUAUCGACGAUGAUCAUGACAAGAAGCAAGCAAAUUCAAAUAUCAUACAAGACAAUGAGAACAAAACUUGCAUACACAACAUUGUAAUCAAUAACCACCAAGAUCAAAAAUAUCAAAUGCAUUGGAUAAUUAGAUAAAAUAAUUACAAAAGUUGUAAUUAGUCUCCUGGUUUUCAUGGAUUUCUCACCAUUACAACCUGACCAAACAGAAUGUUUCUUUUUUCGACCUACAAAGACCGGAGAUUUAGGACUAGUUGACCUCAACUGGGGCUUCGUGGGUCUCAAUUAGGGGUUCCUCAUUCUCAAUUGAAGCUUCGUCACUCUCGAUUGGAACAUCAUCAACCUCAAUUGGGGCAUCGUCGAUCGUGAUUGGGGCAUUGUCGAUCUCAAUUGGGGCAUCGUCGAUCUCAAUUGGGGCUUCAUCGAUCUCAAUCGGGGCUUCUUCUGUCUGGAUCGGUGAUCAGCUUGAGAGGAGACAUGUGUUGAUCGGCGAUCAGCUAAAGUGUCGUUGGACAUUGUUAUCCUUAUACUUAACUGAGUUUAACAAAAUUUUGUUUUUUAGGUUAAUUUUGCUAAUAAUCUUCACCACAAGGAAUUAAAUCUAAAGUGUCGUUGGACAUUGUUAUCCUUAUACUUAACUGAGUUUAACAAAAUUUUGUUUUUUAGGUUAAUUUUGCUAAUAAUCUUCACCACAAGGAAUUAAAUCCUAAUUUUUUUUACCACAUGGGUAAUCCUCCGAAUACCCUAUCACCACAGGAACUAUUAAUCUGAUUUGGCCAAAAAUUUAUUGUAUCAAAACAUGGGUACAUUCUUCAAAAUCACAAAAAAAGACAUUAGGCUUAAUAACAUUAGUAAAUUUCUUCAAUUAAACUUGACAUAGAUACAUUCUAAAAUCAAAGAAAAAAGAAUGUACCCAUAUAAGUUUAAAAAUGGAUUAGAAAAAAAUUGAAUAGAUUUUAUAUAUUAAAAAAGGGUACAUUUUACAUAUAAACAAAUUGGUAUAUUUAAGAAUGAGUACAUUAUAAGAUUAAAAAGUUUUACAUGAAUGGGUACAUAUAAUUAGCAUGGGUACAUUUAGCAAAAAUAAAAAGUACAAAUAAAAAAAAAGGGUACAAAUACAAAUAAAUUUUAAAAAAUAUGGGCACAAAAAGAAAUUAAUAUAUGGGUACAAAUUAAAACUGAAAAGAAAAUCGAUACAAGUUAAAAAAGAAUUACAAAUUAAAAAUGGGUACAAAAUAAAACUAAAAAUAUAUGAUAAAAAAUUUAGUCAUAAAUAUAAAUAUACUAAUUGUAACAUUUUAAACAUUAAAUGAAUAUAUUUAGAAAUAAAAAAUUAUUAUUGAAAUAAUUAAUGAUGUUAUUAAUACCAAGGACCUUGAUAAAAACUUGAAACUGAAACUUGACCUCAUUGAAAAUUUUGAAUCAACAAUUUUUCCUUGAAACUAAGAGGUACGAAGAAAAAAGUUCAACAUUACGAAAUAGGACAGUUAAAUGUCAUAGAGAUGCACCGGCAAAUCAUUUCAAUUCACCGAGAGCUUUUGGCAUUCCUAUACUCUGGGCAAGGUUGCUCAUUCUAUCCUUCAUGGCCUGAAUAUUGGAAAGUACACACAAAUACUAUCAGUUAAAGUAGCCCACAAUUAUCAAUCAGUCUGUAAAAACAUAGAAACACAUUGUGUUCUCACCAUGACACUCUUCUGAUGCGCAUCUUUGUAUGCUUCCGUCACCAAUUCAGAGACUUUCUGCAUUGUGAAAAUAAAAAAGGAAAAGAAAUCACAUCUAUCCUAAGGAGAAACUCAUUCUGGCAAACGGGAAAGGGAACAAUAGUUUUCACGACUUACUUCUGCUCCUAGUUCCAUAGCAGCCUCAGUUAUCUCAGUGCGUACAGGUUGCUGGUUACCAGAAAGCGUUACCUAGGGGAAAAUCAGAGAUCAGAGGAUUGUCAAGUCUGAGAGCAACAGAGACAAGAGUAUAUAUAUGUAAACAGGGAGAGAAGACGAAGGUUCCAUUUAACGAACAGCUGAGCUGAUAAAACUAAAAUGCACCGAUUGGAAAAACUUAAAGUUAUCUGUGUAGGUCAGUAAAAGUUUUGCUAGCGACACUAUGACCGUGUCUUCACAUUAUCUUGAUACUAUGAAAGUGAAAGUUAAAAUACCAUUCAGACACAAGAAAACCAGCUUAUAUUCCCAAACUGAACAAAUAUCCAAAGUUGACCUUGUCGCAAGAGUGAAUCAUUCGUACCUUUAUAAUCUCACCUUCACAGUAACCAUCAAACACUGCCCUGAAAAAGGGGGGAAAAAAAGAAGAAAGAAUGAAGAGAUAAUAAUCAUACCACUGAAAGGAUUAUCAGUAUCGGACGAAAUUGGAUAAAGCUUUAAGAACAUACGCAGCAAGCUCUUUCUGCACACGCACUGCUUCAACUUGUACUACAUUUUGAGCUUGCUUAACUGUCUCAUACAGAUUUUGCAUACUGAAAACUCCUGCCUGCAUCAAAAGUGCAGACAUAACAGUACAUCAACUUGAUACUUAAAUCAAGGUUUCUAUUCUUAGGAAUGCUGGACUAGCUCCACGUGGACUAAGACAGACUCGGGAUACUGUAACAGAAAACAACAUAGGAUCAUAGUCACAAUUAUGCUAGAAACAACAUAAAGUCAUUAUCAGCAUAUGUUCUAGUAAACCAAAAGUGGCCAGUUAUGAUCGACCUCAAGCUUGCAAUGUCGCCAUUACACAAGACAAAUAAACGAUGAUAACACUAUCACUAUAGCAACCUUAUAGUUCGACUAUAAUUAUAACUAGGCAACCCCAUUUGACGUCCAUACCACUGCCCUUUAUCCUAAACAAAUCCUGCUACCAAUUGCGUGAUGCAAGAUAUAGUGAUCCAUAAUAAAACAUAGCUGGACCAUGUUCGACCAAAGUACAGUUGACAGCCUAAUGUCAAAAUCUGUGAGCCUCGGGCUGCAUAAAGCUACUUAGCUUACAAUUGGAAGGGCUACGAAACCCUGCAACCUAAUACUGCAUCAAUCAUAUAAAUUUGAUCUGGUGUCCCCACAUGAAGCAUAUAAAAGUUAAAAUCAACCAUCCCCUUUCAUUUUAAUAGAGUUUGUAUUGACUUGACACACUCAACAGAGGAAUACAAGGGGCAAGAAAUAAAUUUCUGAGAAGGAUUAACGGGUACAGCAAUGCAGCAGAUGGCAAUUCCAAUGGUCAAUACAAAGUUGGUCCACCCAAGACAAGUUCCAGAAAAAUGGGAAAACAAACUACAAGAGGGAAAAUGCUAAACCUUUGAAGCUGCAUCAUCACCCCUUUCAUUGUUACCCUUUUUCCCUCCUCCAAAUAAGCCAUACACACGGGACGAACGGGGUGUCCUCCCAGUCUUAAUACCAGGCCAAGAAACAAUUGAAGGACAGGCUGGACGUGAGUUUACUCCUUCACCUAUAAUCAGAAUAAAGCAGUAAGUUUGAUUUGUCAUCAGAAAUUACACGAUAACCCCGUCUCACAGCGGAAUAGGCAAAACAUUUUUGCACAACAAAACAAUGAUUAACAGAUUGAGCAUAAAUUUCGAAAAAGCGCAAACAUUUACGCUCACAAAUUUUCAAUGCCCACAAUUUAGUUUGACAUCCUAAACAAUCUCGCUCAGCAAAGUGGCAUCAAAUUUCAAUGCCCAGAAUUCAAAUACAAUGGUCCAACAUUUCCAACAGUAAUUUCUUACACUGCCAAAGCCAUGCUUUUUCCUCAAGUGUAUGAUAAAAAGGGGUUAAAAUUGGUACAAAAAGAAACCCAAUUUCUGUUCUAUCUUCUUUCGAAAACCCCAUAAUUUCUAUGCAAUUCGAGAAAUGUUUUUGCAUACAAAAUUGUGCGGAAUACUACUGGUAUUGAGCCAAUACGUUUCGAGAGAGCUUACGGAAAGUGAGGUGGUCCUGGGAUUCGGUGAGGAGGUGGAAGUUGGAAAGCCGGGAGCUUAAAGCACUGGUCGACGACAUGACGGACACAGAGAGGGAGGAAGGAGAGGCGAAAUAGCGGUGCAAUUCAAUGCCUCUCUCUCUCGCUGUCUCUGGUUUUUGGAUACAAUGGAUCUCUUCGAUACCUACCUCAAUGCACCAAACAAAACUUUGGUAAUUUUAUUUAUUUUUUAUCUUAUAUAUAAUAUAUAUAAAAAAAAAAAUUUUGAAAGGGUUUGCGCGAUUAUCGGAAGACCAGUUCCACAUGACUUGUAGGAUUUUUUUAGGGUUUAGGCCCGAAUGAAAAAGGGGCAUAAGCCCGAAUGAAAAAAGAAUAUUACAUAUGAUUAUCACGAGACCAAAAAACACUAAUUUAUAUCUACAUAUAGCAAUUUACAACAAAAAGGAGGAGCUAGUAACUCUCAAAAUAUCUUGUGAAAUCUCAACAAUUUUCAUGUUUCACAAACACAGUUUGCUAUUAACUCCGGAUUUGUAAAAUCGGUUUUGGCCAGUUCUACAAAAUUCAUCAUAAAGUUAAAACCUCUUUUUGGUAAACUUUUCUUGCAAACUCAAUUCCGGCUAUGUUUUAGGUCAGUUCAAUAUUUGUAACUGAUUCUUCUAUUUUUGAGCAUAAAAAUUUAAGCAAAUACUUAUGUUAAUAAGUAAUAAGACCGAUUCCAAAGAGUUACUUAAAAGAAAAAAAAUUAGUUAGUAAACCUUGUGCUUGGUUUAAAACUACUUUGCACGACGCAGAUCCUACGUCGUGCAAAGCUACUUUGCGCGACGUACGUUACUCCUUCGUUGCACAAACCACUUUUUUAUUUUUUUGGCAAAAAUAUUUUUUAUUUAAUUUUUAAUAAAUAUUGUAAAUUCUAAACAAUAAUUAAUAAACAAAAAAAAGUAUUUAAUUAUAAAAUAUAUGAAAAUGUACAUACAAGAUGUUCGAACAAAAAAGAAAAAACUACAACAAGUAGUCUUCUAUGUUUGAUACAUCAGACUACUAUGUAUCGGCUGGGCGAAGUGGCUGGGAGGUCGAAGGUGGAGCAAGAUUAGGUGCUGGCAUCGGGAUUUAGAGGCCGGAAAUCUGUAAGGCCCGUACAAUAAUACUCAUUUGCUCGCCCUGGGCUGCAAGUUGACCUUUUAGGGUUGUCACUUCCUCCUUCAAGGCAUUGACCUCUCCUGUGGUCGAUCUGGAAAAGGAGGCACCCGUCUCACGAACCCGCACCUUCCCUAUACACCGAACAAUAAAAAUAUAACAUUAGAAACUAGUCAUUUCUUGCAUUUGAAACUAAUCAAUUAGCAGCCAAAGUAAUAUCAUAUCCUUUCUUGCAUUUGUUCACACACACACACACACAUACACACACACACACACACACACAUAUAUAUAUAUAUAUAUAUAUAAAGCAGUAUUGCAAUGGUAGAAACAAUACUAAUUAACGAUGUCAACUAUGCUUUAAACCAAUAGGAUCAGAUGUUCCGUUUAUGUGUAUCUUGAUUAUUUUGGUCGCAAGUUAAUAUGUCGUAUUUUUAUUUAUCGUAAAAUACAUGUAAGAAAGCAAUUCUAAGUAGAUAUAUAUUUGAUGUUUAUCCACAAGCUAUCUUCAAACACAUUGACAAUAUUCUUAGUGCAGUUAUUAAAUUCUAUACCUGCAAUCCAACUAAGAAAGCUUUAAUUAUCAUGGCCUAUCUGACAUGGACAAAUCAAUCAUCAAACAUAGACAGUCCUUAUGCACCUAAUUAUACAGCAUGGGAAGCAUGACUUCAUCAGUCAACAAACAUACACAGUCCUUAUGCACAAAUCAAAAGUGGCAUCAAGAAAAACUGUAACUACAAAUGUGAGAACAAUCAUCGCGUUAGAAAUCAUUUAUCAAUCUUAAAUAAGUGUCCAUACAAGCAAAGUGUUGGCAACAAACCCCGUAGACAUGUGUAAGAAAAAGAUUAGAAGCACAAGUGUAAGAAAAGGAAAGCUGGAUAAGUUACCUGCUUCCCAUUCUCAUCCAUGAUAACCAUCCUCGGCAACGAUUGAACAUGCAUUAAGAAAUUUGACUCUCAUACAAAGAGAAAUAGGUUCACUAAUGCCCAAACUCAAUACAAGCAAACGACGAGAGAACAAUCUCAGAACUUAUCUGGAAAGAGAUCCAAACCACAUGCAUGCAUACAUCUUCGUUGCCUCUGAAGACCAAAAGAACCAAACAAAUCAGCUCAAAAAUGCAACCGGAAUUUUCACUAUGCCACAAUAGAUGAAAAUUAACAUAGGAAGGCACACAACUCUAUAUGAACAUAUAUUUUUUACCAGUAAAAGAGGGAAGAAAACCUAACUCUCAGAGUCUCAUGACUUAUUGUCAAAACAUAGGCAAAAACUUAAUGGACGCAGUUUCCAAAUAAGUUUUAAAAACUUUAUGAGCCUUGCAUGGAAGAGAAGUAAUCUUCCAGUACUUGGUUUUCUUAAUUGACAUGUUUUCAGCAGGAGUGUUGGUUGACAUGUACCUCGCCAUCCAAGACCUACUUGCUUCUUAAAUCUGUUCUUGUCUUUUCAUUUCAAUUUUUUAUUUUUUUUUCAAAAGAGGAAGAAACAAUUGUCAUUAUUUUUUUUUUGGGUCAAGAUUACAUUAUAUGAGAUGGGGACUUUCAGAUUAAAAAUGAGAAACAGAAAAACCUGCUAAACCAAGUAACAUAAUGAAGAUCACUUUUUUUUCUUUUUUCAAAUAACAAAAGUCCAAGAGAAAGAUUUACCUUCCAAACUGCGUCUCUCUUUGCAGUUCCAACCAAGUAUGGAUGAUGAGCACAGAACAAAACUCGUGUUGCGGCACUUGGAGCUGCAGGUAAAGCUACUAAUGAUAUGACAAGUAAAGCCUUCACUGAAACCUCAACCAAAGGGAGGAAUGGUACUUGAGUGUCCAAUGAAUUAUCUGUUUCACUAUAACACAUAGAAAAUUAAAUCCCCGCCACCAUAUCAGAGAGGAUAUGAGAAACAAUGUGCAGAGAUGGGUACUUAAAUGUACAAAUCAAUACACUUAAACCACCACAAACACUUGUAUUUAAUAUUGUUAUUAAUAGUAUAUUUAAAUAUGAUUGAAAGGAAGAACCAACAGCAUCAACUAAAGCUACAGAACCAUAAGAAGAACAAACCGAACUUAACAAUGAUGGUCAAGGUUCAAGAUGCUUAUUCUGCCUGCACCCACCCCAAUGGGAAGAAUUAAAAAGGAUAAGUAGCGUAUAUAAAAAAGAGUUGCACCUUAACUUUGAUCAUGCCAAGUGGAGCAUUACACAUUUCUUGCAGUGUGUUGAUCAUGCCAAUCCUCUGAGCCUGUUUAAAUGGAAAUGUUAAUUAAAGAUAAUACAAGUAGAAGCCGCUUAACAGUGUGCUCAAAUAAGGAAAUGUUAAGAAAAUAUAGUGAGGACUUGUCUUUUCCCUAAUUUGAAUAUUACUCUGACUGAGGAAGAUAUGGACCUACCUCCUAACCCCACUCUUUGUUCCUAAUUAGUCCCUUCCUUACCCAUACACCUACAGAAGAAAAAGAAGAAACUAAAAAGUCCAUUCCACGGCCCAAUACCCGAUUCGACUCGUUCUGAGUCGGACUCGUUGUCGUGAAACCCAGUCGCAGACGAGCUUGGAGAGGCAGGGGGAGUCGUAGUCGCCGGAGUGCUCGCUUCCUUUGCUGGCGUCACUAGGUCCGGAGCUGUAUCCUCCUACGAGUCUAUCUUUCACCCGGUCGUCGAGCGGGUAAGUGACCCGUUUCGAUCUCGUUCUAACAAAACCAGUCAUUGAUGAUCAAACAGUUUCUCCUUCCUACUUUUGUUUCAGUAAAUCAAGGGAAAGAAAGAGGGAAAGAAAGAGAGGGAGAUUUUGGGUCUGCAGGGAAAGGUUCAAGAUUGGGUUCGAAAGAAGGGGAAAGAAGGAGGGAACGAAAGAAAGGGAGAUUUGGGGUCUACGGGGAAAAGAGGGUUCAAGAUUGGGUUCGAAAGAAGGGGAAAGAAGGAGGGAGGGUUCAGAUUUAUCACAACUCAGAAAUAAAGAGGGAAAGAAAGAGGGAGGGUUCAUGUUUGGGGAGAGAAAGACCGAGUGAGGGAAAGGGAGAGAGAGGACGAUAUGAGCGAGAGGGUGAUUCACCUGCGUGAGAGGAUGAGGGAGACGGAGUGAGAAGAGAGAGUUCAGUGAGAAGAGAGUUCGGGAGACCGAGUGAGGAGAGAGUUUGGGUUUAUCACAGAUAGCGAAAAUUUAAACAAAGCGCCUAUUUUUAACAAGUGCACCGCCAAAAUUAUCACACAUUGCGCGACGCAGGUUUACCUUUAGACGUCGCGCAAAGGGUUUUUGCGCGACGAGAACACGUGGCAUCGCGCAAGGUAAUUUUUUUUUUAUAAAUAUUAUAAAAUGUACUGAAAAAGUAAUUUUACUGCCUUCAAAUUCAAUUUUUUUUUCCAUAAAACCCACAAUAAUAUAUUGUUAUAACAAUUGCAAUAAAUUUAAAGCUACUUAAUAAAUAUAAAUGUUUUUCAAUUUCUUAAGUGUUAUACGUACAGAAUAAAUAAAUUUAAAUUUACUUAAUAUAUAUACACACAUACCAUUGAAAUUGAUGAGAUACGCAUUGUACAAAACUAAUUUGAACGAUCAAACCCUCAAACUUGUUUGUAUAUACUUCGAGAUUGCAUACACCAAAAAUUGCAAAAAAAAAAUAUUCAGAGAUUAAGUAACGGGACAAAACUUUGCGACGGUUAUAAACGAAAAAUCACGAUUUAACGGUAGCUUUAACUCCGAUUUUAAUGAUUUUUUACAGCUACACUCCUUGAUCCUAUAUGAAUACAAUGAACUAAUUCGAUCGUCAAUUUAGAAUAUUUACAAAAAGUGGAUACCACAAAAUCUUUAUGUUAUACUUAAUGAAAGUAUAAAUAAACUCUAAGUGUUAGUGAAUCUAUCAUUUUGAUGGGAUACGCAUUCUAUGAAGCUAAUUUCAAGGAUCCAACCGUCAAACUUGUUUGUAUAUGCUUUGAGAUCACAUACGCAAAAAAUCGAAAAAAACAAACAUUCAAAGGUCGAGUAACAUGACAAAACUUUUCAACAGUUAUAAACCAAAAAUCACGAUUUAACGGUAGUUUUAACUCCGAUUUUGAUUAUUUUUUAUAGCUAUAGUACUUGAUCCUAUAUGAAUACAAUGAACUAAUUCGAUCAUCAAUUUAGAAUAUUUACACAAGUGGAUACCACAAAAUCUCUAUGUUAUACUUAAUAAAACUAUAAAUAAACUCUAAGUGUUAGUGAAUCUAUUGUUUUGAUGGGAUACGCAUUACAUGAAGCUAAUUUCAAGGAUCCAACCGUCAUACUUGCUUGUAUAUGCAUCGAGAUCACAUACGCAAAAAAUUGAAAAAAACAAACAUUCAAAGAUCGAGUAACGGGACAAAACUUUUCGAUGGGAUACGCAUUGUAUGAAAUUAGUUUCAAAGAUCCAACCGUUAAACUUGUUUGCAUAUGCUUCGAGAUUGCAUAUGCCAAAAAUCACAAAAAACAAACAUUCAGAUAUUAUGUAACGGGAUAAACCUUUUCGAAGGCAAUAAACCAAAAAAUCAUGAUUUAACGGUAGUUUUAACUCCGAUUUUGAUAAUUUUUUAUAGCUACACUCUUUAAAUCUAUAUGAAUACAAUGAACUAAUUCGAUCGUCAAUUUAAAACAUUUACACAAGUGGAUACCACAAAAGAAAAAUGCAAUGCAAGAACCCAAAAAAUAAAAAAAAUAAAAAAAUAGAAGACUUUGCGCGACGUAGGUACCGCUACGUCGCGCAAAAGUUUUUUUUUUUUUUUGCCUUUUGCUUAUAAGUACAAAAUAAAUAAAUGAAAAUAUACUUAGUAAAUACAUAUACCAUUGAUUUUGAUGGGAAACGUAUUGUACGAAACUAGUUUGAACGAUCCAACCAUCAAACUUGUUUGUAUAUGCUUCGAGAUUGCAUAUACCAAAAAUCACAAAAAAAAAAUUCAGAGAUCAAGUAACGGGACAAAACUUUUCGACGGUUAUAAACGAAAAAUCACGAUUUAACGGUUAUUUUAACUCCAAUUUUGAUGAUUUUUUACAGCUACACUCUUUAACCCUAUAUGAAUACAAUGAACUAAUUUGAUCAUCAAUUUAAAACAUUUACACAUGUGGAUACCACAAAAGAAAAAGACAAUGCAAGAACAAAAAAAAAAAAAACUUUGCACGACGACAGUCUUCGUCGCGCAAACUGCCUUUGCGAGCGUAACUAUGCGCGACGAAGGUUGGCGUCGCGCAAAGUUACGUCUCGCAAAGGCAGUUUGCGCGACGUUUUGUGUUUUCCGUCGCGCAAACAUACUUUGCGCGACAAAAUUUUCUCCGUCGCGCAAACAUGUUUUUAUACUAGUGGUCUAACGUGUGGAUGCAAAUUUCUUCCUCCUUGAUCUUGGACAAUUUUGCACCUACAAAACAAUUAACACCUUAGGUUAAGGCCAAGAGCCUCACGCGCCCACGAUGAAUGGGGGAGGCUUUGGCUGAAGAACCUCCGAUGCCAAAGUUAGAAUUUAGAGAGAGAAAAAAUGUUUAGAGAAUUUUGAGAUUUUUGCCAAAGUGUUGGAAUGGGUUUUUGGUGGAAAUGGGAGCACAUAUAUAGGGAUAGGAGGUGGCUUAAUUUAGCAAUUAAUAUAUUAAUUAAGAAUAAUAUAUUAAUUGGUUAAUUAUCAAUAUAAAGGGAAUGUUUUUAUGACUUUCAUGGCAUGAUCAGCUAAUCAAUCAAAUAAUGGUUGAAAAGAUUAGCUAAUCAAUGUAAAAAAGGCAAAUUGUGGUAGGAAAUCAAAGGGAAUGGCCGGCCCCCAUUUUGGAGAAGGACCAACGGCUUUUAGGGUGAUUUUUGGCUUUUAAUUGAUAAUUUAAUUGAAAAUUAAUGAGUUUAUUAGGUAAUAACCCCAUUAAUUUGUCAAUUAACUCGAUUUAUGUGGAAUAUUUGGUAGGUUAUAGAAUGGUUAUUUAAUUAUUUGGCUAGGAGGGAAAGUGAGGUAAAAAUAUAUGAAAUGAGAUAGGUUUUGAAUUGUUACCUAUUUUGGGCAUUUCUGACUUGGUUAAAGAUGUUUAUUUGCUACUUGCGCGUAGGAAUCCCAUGUGCCUCAAGGGUAUUCUUGUCCUUUUUUAUCCAAAGAUCCACGUGUCGCCUUGUGAUUAUUUUUCGCUCCACAUAACGCAAACUACAAAUUUAGUGUACAUAUUUGGGUUUCUCUCAAACUUUUGUCUAAACCCAGCUGUUUUCGAUGGUGUUUUACCCCAAUUGCAGUAGAUGAUUUUGGUGACAACUCAACAUACACAAAUUCAUUUUUCCGGCAUUGACGUUUGCUUGUAUCUGCGAGGAACAUGUAUUGGAUAUUAUCUUUGACCCUCGGUAGCAAAUGCUGUAUCUAGUCGCCUUUUUCAUACUGCUAUGUCAAAUACAGUUGAAUCAUCUUCUGUAUGACCUAAACAGAUUAUUAUAUGGAGCUAUAGCGUACAUAAUCAAUCAAAUAUUGAGUACAUGUUGAGAGUCUUACCGAGAUUGUUUUGUGAAGAUUAUUCCGAAGGGUUUUGCAUGAACUGCCCCCAAAGAAUGACUAAAAUGUUAAAUGAUGUCAUCCCAGGUUGCAUUGAAAGGGAGAAACUGAUAUAAUAUAAUGGCAUGUUUAUACUCAUACAAAUUCCUAUCAAAACAUAAAAAGAAACAAUGUUCAUACAAUCAAAACUGCAGAAAUUAUAACCCGAUUAAAUUUCGUUUUGUCCACCUACUGUUCAGCAGAUUGCUUCCAAACUUUAGCAAUAUAAAGACAAGUACGUAGUUCAGGUGUUGAUGUAUAACCCUUGAGCUGGUAUCUUGGAAGCAAAGUCACAAGUUUUGAAUUUCUUUUUAUAUGUUUAUUUUCUGAUGUAAUCUGAGCCAUUGAAUCAUAGUCCAAGUGGUCUCUUCUCUAGCCUAAGAUUUAAGUGAUAGAUUAUGACAAGUGUACUCACCUCAUAGGGUGAUAGAAUCAAAUGUUAGGAUUUAAUCUUGGUGUAAAGUUGUUAGAGAAGAAUCUCGCUUCUCUCUCCUCUCUAAUGGUUAUAUUUGGUUAGUGGAGUGUGAAAUACAGUCAGAACCUUCAUCACUCUCGCAGCACCAUAGCUGCAUUUUCUCUGCAAUUUUCCUUCUUCCCAAACACUCAAAACCUUCAUAAAACUAAAUACCAAAAGCUAUGAACUCUAACAUAAGGAACCUUUUUGGGUGAUUAAUAUCCAAGAAGACACGCUCAAUUAUCAUUUUCACUAAGCGAUAUGUUUCCCUCAUGUGUUCAAGAGAUGGCUUCUGUUCUUUCAUUAAUAUGAAACUCCAUAAUAUUAUUCUCUUGUGAAAUAUGUUCUGAAACAUAUCAAAAUUUCUCCAAAGACAUAUAAUUAAAGGCAAUUCAAUUACUUGUAGGUAUUAGAGAUCCAACAAUGAUCCUAGCUAUUAGAUGACAAAUUGGAAAAAUUAAAAUUCAUUCACCUCUAAAACAAUGCAAAAUGAUUACUCCCCUAUAUUUAAAAAAUAAUUUGAAAUUUUAAUUACUAAAUUAAUCACCAAAAAAUCAUAAUUAAAAAAAAAUAAAACAUCUAUUUUCGAUUGUAUAUUAUAAUAUACAACACAAUUGUCGUAAUUAAAUUCGUCACUGUAAAAACUUAAAAACGUUCUCAAUUUUCGCACCCGAGAAGUCACGAUUUCGGCAUUUUGCUCUUUUAGAAAUUAGAAGAGCGGAACAUUAAACAUAAAGCAAGUCGGCGGGAUGUUUGAUGCUAGUGUACCGGGCUAAUUAUUUCUAAAAGAGCAAAUGGCGAUAUCAUGACUUUUUAUCUUUCGAAAAUUGAGAAACGUUUUAAAAAUUUUGGCAAUGGCGGAUUCAAUUUGGACAAUUAUAAUGUUUAUUAUAAUAUAUGUUUAAAAAAAGAUGUUUUAUCUUUUUAAUUAUGAUUUUCGAUGAUUAUUUAAGCAUUAAAUUUGGGGGUGUGAUAUUCACACACCUCAUUUUACUUUUCACACAUCCUUCUAAUUUUUUAUCAUCGGAUUAGAUGAAUUGAAGAAAAUCAACAGAUUGAAAUUAAUAAGGGGUAUGUAUAAGAAGUAAAAUAGGAUAUGUGGAUAGCACACCCCUAAAUUUAAAUUAUUAUUUUUAAAUAUAGGGAGUGAUCCUCUAGAAGUAAAUGAAUGUGAUAAUUUCUAAUUUGUCAUCUAAUAGCUGGCGUGAAUCGAUUUCUAAUACUUAUAUUAAUAAACAACUAAUUGAAAGCCCUUUAAAGUUGUUGAGAAGUUUGAUAUUUUUUGAAACAUGUUUCAAAAUAAAAUAAGAGUUUCAUAUUAACGAAAUAACAGAUAUCGAAACGGAAGUAUUGCGUGAAAAGGAUACCUUAACUGAACCGGUCUUCUUGGAUGUACACCAGAUUCUCAAUCAUUACGGAGUCAUUUCUUCCAUGUGUCUAGAUCCUUAGACAUCAAGCUUGUGAAAGUUGAAACCGUGAAUGAGAGAAUAAAAAGAAGGGGAAGGUCGAAUGGUAGGGGUUUUGUUGAGGUAAGGAAAGAGAAGUACAAGGUGAGGCUGCUAGGGUUUUGUUACGGUAAAAAAGAGAAGGAGAGGGAGACGGCGCGGCUAGUACUUGCUAGGGUUUCUUUUGGCAUAAGAAUGAGGAGAGGGAGGGACAGAGAUCCCAGCUGGAUCUCACACUAGCGAAGCCACACUGGGGUCAUUGAGCUCACAUGACCCCAAUAACCCAAUGUUUUCCCUCUUGUUUUUUUGUCUUGACCCCUACUAGUUUGGGAAAGAAAUGGUUUGUAGGUUAGCUUUUUGUUUCUCAACGGUCUUCUCUCUGCUCUUGCUGCUUCAAUUUUCUUCUUUCUUUCCUCUAUCUUCUUCUUUUGUGGUGCAUCUUCUUCUUAAUUCAGAUUUCCUCUGUCCCUUACAAUAUGCUUAACUCAAAUUCUUAUUAAUUGACCCAAAAAAAACUCGUAUUCUUAUUUCCACUUCUGCCCUUGACUGCAUAUUUCCUGGAUGUAUUGACUUCUUGAUUCGUGGCUUAUUGUCAUGUGUCGUGCUUGAUGUUUUCUUUUACUUUUUGUUAGCGCUUUACAUAUAAACAAAAAAUACGAUAUUACUACGUGGACAAACUAUAAACAAAAAUAUGCUUAAUUUUACACCUACUUAUCAUGACCCCAUUGUUAUAUAAUCCUAGCUCCGCCACUCUCACCCCACCAAAUCCUAAGGAUCUGAAGAUCUUGACCAUUGAAAUUUAAUCCAAAUGCUACAAAUAGAGAAGCUCUUCUAAAGUGAUAAUAAUUGUAGCCAUUGAAUUAAAUUUCAAGAGUUCGGAUUUCCGGAUCCUUAAGACUUGAUGGGGAGAUCCGGUAUCUCUGUCCGAGAGGGAGGGGGCGCAUGUUUUAUAAGCGCAAGAAAUGCCGAGGCUAUUUUGGACAUUUGACCCACGGGUUGGACUCAACUGAAAAGUGUUGAAGUUGUUUUGGAUAAUUUUUGUAAUUUUACAAAAGUUUUGGACGAGUUGUACCGUUUGUGAAAUGAAGGGAAAUUAAAGGACUUAUUAAAUUUAAAAUUUACAAGGGUUAACAGUUAAAGAGGAGUUGUUAGUCGGGUCAAAGGGGAGUUCUAACUUGUACAGUUAAUCAUUCCACUAUUUACUCAACGUUGAUCAUGUAAGCAAACAUACCCUUUUAAUUUUGUAGGUAUGAUAAUCUGAACAAGAACGACACCGAGGCUGAUGCAAGCUUCACGAACUCAACUCCUUCUGGCUUUGGACAGGUGUGUUCCGCGACUGAGACUGUAAGUGUAAUGGUCAUUGCAUGUGUUCGUUCAGUUUUGUGAAUGAUGUUAAUUUGCUGGAUUUUUCUUGAAUGGUGCUGUUUAUGAGUUGGCUGAGGCUCUCGGUUUCCUCACCCAUUGUAAAUGGUAAUAAUCUUCAUCUUCUUGUUCUUCCUCGAGCCUUAUGAUUGUAUAAGAAAUAUCGCAUCAGGGGAUUUUGAUUUGAAGAAGAAGAGGCACCCAAUUCAUUCUUUUUGCCGAAUGGUUCUUUCUCAAAUUUUAUGACACUCGGCAAAUGCGUUGCGUAAAUUGUUAUUACUGUGUGAUAUGCAUUUUAGGUGGUGUUGUAUUUUGGACCGGUUUUGGGUUUUCUGUUGUUGAUUGAAAUCAAAUCUUCUGAGAGUAUUUUUUAUUUUGAAGUUGCUUGAGUUUGCAUCUCAAUACUAUACUAUACUAUAAAUGGUUCUAUUUGAUUGUUUUCUUGAGAUUAAUUAUUGGAUUCGUAAUUUAUUGAAUGAAUGGUUGAUUUGAUGAGAGAGAGCCUUGGAGCAACGGAAAGGUUGUUCUUUUGAGACCAAAAGAUUAUGAGUUCGAGUUGUGGAAACAUCAUCUUUGCAAAGCAAGAUGUUCUCAAUCAAUGCUCAUUCGUUCCCGCACCCUUUCACAGUCACCGUUUUUCCUAUACGAAGUUCUCAAUCAAUGCUCCUUCACCUUUCAUCGGUGCUCCACUUUCCUUGUUUGAUUAUUAACAAACAUCUACUGAUUUUGCAUUGAUUCGUUUAAUUGGUGUGUAUGCCUUUUUCUUUUAAUUUGUUCUCCAUUGUUGCAGACUACUAAGUUUUGCUUGAGGAUCUAAAAUUUUUGUUGCAAUCGGUCGUAUGUAUAAUUAUUGAAGUCAGGUUCCUAGGUUUUAGGUUUUUUUCUUUUAGGGUUUUUUUUUAAUUUUUUUUUAUUAAAAAAAUUCAAAUUAUUUUUAAAAUGUGGUCCGCCUAAGGUGCCAUGUAAGAUGAUAUAAAAUUGUGGUACAAAUAGAGGAUAAUAAUGAUAUUAUUGAAGAUUUAUAUGAUACAAAAGAAGAAAGAAAAAUAUGAGAGGUCCCAAGCCAAUAAUAUUUAGGGUUUAUAUAUAGAGGAGGGGUUUGAUGUGCUUUUGCUUGGCAAGUAGGGCAAUGUGGGGUUUGAUGUGCUUUUGGGUUACACAUUAUAAGAUUCUGUCCAGGUUUUAUGCUCUUAAAUCUCGACAUCUCAACCUCUUCCUCCCCCACGUACAAACACUCUAGCCAUGAAUAUAAAUUCUGGCUCGUGCUUUUUUUAAGUCCCCAAUUAAUUAUCACAGAGAUUCCUAAACCUUAAUAAACCAAAAUCAUAUAUAUGUAGGGUGACGUGACGAUCCGUGCCAGCCGUGCCGUCUCCUUCUUUUUCUUAAGGUGUGGUAUUGAGUGAUUUGGCCGGGAACCCAACUGAGCGAGCUAUCUCAACAGGCAGGUCUGAAUCAGACCGUCCGAUUUUUCCCUCUCCUUCCUUGAUGUACAUCCUUUCUCCUGUCAUCUAAGUGACCGUUUAUCAUUUUUUUUUUCUAGGAAUUUUAUGCAUAUUUUUAAUCUUUAGGGUUUGUGCUUGUUUUUGGGGUAUUUUUGUUUUUUUUUUGUUGGAUUAUUUUGAUGAUGAUACGAUAAUCUUUAGAUUUAGUAGUAUAAUUAAUAACGUAUGUGUUGUAGGGGUAUUUUCAUGAAUGGCGUUAGUAUAAUUGUUGGAUUUAUCAUCUGCUAGUAUAGAUGUUAAUUUGCUGGUUUUUUCCUGAUUGGUGUUGUAUGAUUUGGAUAUGGCUCUCAGUUUCCUCCCUAUCGUCAAUUGUAAUAAUCGUUAUCUUCUUAUUCUCCUUCGAAUCUUAUAAUUGUAAAAUGCCUUUUGGUUUUCGUUGGUUUCGGUGGUGUUGUGUUUGGACCAGUUUUCGGUUUUCUGUUGUUGAUUGAAAUCAAAAUCCUUGGGAGUCUGUUUUUUUCUCUCUCUUUAUUUUGAAGUUUCUUGAGUUUUCAUCUCUAUACUACAAAUUAUUCUCUUUGACUGUUUUGUUGAUAUUAAUAUUGGUUUAGUAUUCUAUUGAAUGAAUGAUUGAUUUUAUCUUGUUCAUUAUUUGACACACAUUCCUACCGUUGAUCCCACCCAGGACAAGAUACAAAUGUCGAACCAAGAUUGCUAUUAUUGCAUUCAGCUUAAUGGGCGAGUUUGCAGCCUAAACAUCAGUCAGCUAUUAUUAUUCAAGAAGGGAUCUACUUCUAAGAGGCCCGAAUUCAAAAAUGUGUUUGUCAACGCAAAUGCUGAAUUUCCCAUGCGGAUGGGGCUACUUAUCAGGGAUUCCAAAUUGCAUUUUGUUGGGGGUGAGAAGAUUGUCAGGCCUGGGAUUGUUCCUCACUUGGAGUUAGACCCGAGGUCUUUCAGACGUAGCCCUGAAUUUUGCCACCCCAACUCCCAUGUCUUCACCUUUGACCCUACAUUCCACACCCUCUAUAAGGACAGUAACUUUCCUGAUCCUUCUGCUCCCAAGUCCUGCCCUAUCGUGGUCACCCUUGGGGAUAAAAACAAAGUUUAUGUCCUUUCAACAGAUUCACUCUACCUCUUUACUGGUCAUAGUUUAACUGAACCAAUUUUCGAGGCUUUUGAUUUUGAGUUAAAAACCUGGAAACCUCUCCCUCCCCCCCUUUACUCCCGUCGCGCCCCUAUCAUGUCCCGCUAUGCUAUUGGCCGCAAGCUGUAUCUUAAUACCAGCCAUUUUUCAUGCAUUUUUGAUGCAGAAAAAGAAGAAUGGGACUAUGCCAUCCCAUUGAAGUUUCCCUAUCUUAUGUGUUCUGUAGAGUACAAUGGCUUUCUAAUUGCCAUGCCCUUAUUCGGAGAAGCAGAAGUUGUUGCCUAUAACUUGGACUCAUUUGGGCUCACCAAUUCUGAAAAGCGUCUAGAUCAGCUACAGGAAAUAUUCAAGGAUCCCUUUUACGACCCCAGAGGGUGCUAUCUCACCAGUCUUGACGAUCAUGGCCGCAUGUGCCUCCUUUAUUCAGGUUUCUCCUCUUCCAACUCUUCCAAAGAGUUUUGGGGACGUGUAGCGGUGUUUCAAGUAUCCGUCUCAAACUCUACCGACGGUCCAGUUGUCACUGCAGUUCUAGAGGCUGUCGAAGACUAUAACAUGCAGGACUUUGUAGUUCGUGAUGCCAGUAUUUACUCAACAUUCAUCAUGUGAGCAAAAGUUUUCUGACUUUCCUCCCUCUUUAGUUUUGGCUUUAACGUUGAUCUGCAUUUAUGUAUUUGUUAGCACAUUAUAUACGGCUGUGACCAGCCAUUUUUUGUUCAAUAUACGUAUGCCUUCUUUCAUGCAUUAUGGUGUCUUUUGAAUUCUAAAUGUUUCGUAUCCUUUUUGUACAUUCCCAGUACUUUAUCCUAGGCGAAGUCGUCAUUCCCUGCUUGUCAUUUUGUAGGUAUGAUGAUCUGAGCAUGGAUGAUACCGAGGCUGAUGUAAGUUUCACGAACUCAACUCUUUCUGGCUUGGUUGCUGUUAUGCAUGAAGAACCGGAAACUACAGUUUCUGAAACAGGCCAGGUACGCAACUGAGUUUUUUUUCAUUUACUGUUUGUGGGUUCUGAUUCCAGUGAGUUAUUUAACUUGAUAGUUUCUCUCUGACUUGUUCAAUUUCUCUGCUCUCCCCUUGGAUCUAGAU